Molecule: small nuclear RNA, 285 nt
Filed under: Callithrix jacchus (white-tufted-ear marmoset)
Lineage: Eukaryota; Metazoa; Chordata; Mammalia; Primates; Cebidae
Description: 7SK RNA
Rfam family: 7SK RNA
About the family: 7SK was discovered as an abundant small nuclear RNA in the mid-70s but a possible function has only recently been suggested.
Source: Rfam by way of RNAcentral
GGAUGUGAAAGCAAUCUGCCUGCGACAUCUGUCACCAUAUUGAUUGCCAGGGUUGAUUCAGCUGAUCUGCUUGGCUAGGCAGGUGUCCCUUCCUCCCUCACCUCUCCAUGUGUGUCCCUCUCAAAGCCGCAUGCUCGUUCGAAAUGGACAACCAUAUCAGAUGUAGGAGUACCAGUCUUUGGUCAAGGGUAUAUGAAUAGCUGCACUCCCCUGCUAGAACCUCUAAACAAGCUCUCAAGAAAAGGGCCUCUACAUAUUCACCCAUUGUGAUCCUGGUCCUCAAGU